AGCUUGCUCCCUGAUGUUAGCGGCGGACGGGUGAGUAACACGUGGGUAACCUGCCUGUAAGACUGGGAUAACUCCGGGAAACCGGGGCUAAUACCGGAUGCUUGUUUGAACCGCAUGGUUCAGACAUAAAAGGUGGCUUCGGCUACCACUUACAGAUGGACCCGCGGCGCAUUAGCUAGUUGGUGAGGUAACGGCUCACCAAGGCGACGAUGCGUAGCCGACCUGAGAGGGUGAUCGGCCACACUGGGACUGAGACACGGCCCAGACUCCUACGGGAGGCAGCAGUAGGGAAUCUUCCGCAAUGGACGAAAGUCUGACGGAGCAACGCCGCGUGAGUGAUGAAGGUUUUCGGAUCGUAAAGCUCUGUUGUUAGGGAAGAACAAGUGCCGUUCAAAUAGGGCGGCACCUUGACGGUACCUAACCAGAAAGCCACGGCUAACUACGUGCCAGCAGCCGCGGUAAUACGUAGGUGGCAAGCGUUGUCCGGAAUUAUUGGGCGUAAAGGGCUCGCAGGCGGUUUCUUAAGUCUGAUGUGAAAGCCCCCGGCUCAACCGGGGAGGGUCAUUGGAAACUGGGGAACUUGAGUGCAGAAGAGGAGAGUGGAAUUCCACGUGUAGCGGUGAAAUGCGUAGAGAUGUGGAGGAACACCAGUGGCGAAGGCGACUCUCUGGUCUGUAACUGACGCUGAGGAGCGAAAGCGUGGGGAGCGAACAGGAUUAGAUACCCUGGUAGUCCACGCCGUAAACGAUGAGUGCUAAGUGUUAGGGGGUUUCCGCCCCUUAGUGCUGCAGCUAACGCAUUAAGCACUC
RNAcentral lists this ribosomal RNA (809 nucleotides) under Bacillus sp. (in: firmicutes). Its description in RNAcentral is "bacterial SSU rRNA". It matches the Rfam family "Bacterial small subunit ribosomal RNA", at positions 77 to 869 of the family's 1533-position model. The record is from RNAcentral. Lineage: Bacteria; Bacillati; Bacillota; Bacilli; Caryophanales; Bacillaceae.